RNAcentral lists this transfer RNA (72 nucleotides) under Pseudemydura umbrina (Western swamp turtle). RNAcentral describes it as "tRNA-Ile". Lineage: Eukaryota; Metazoa; Chordata; Testudines; Chelidae. The record is from RNAcentral.
GGACACGUGCCUGAGACACCAAGGAUUACCUUGAUGGGGUAAAAAACAGAGAUUAAAAUUCUCUCGUCUCCU